UUUUUUUGUUUUUUUUUUUUUUUUUUUUUUUGUUUUUUUUUUUUUGUUUGUUUGCUUUUUUUGGUUUUGUUUAAUUGUUUGUGGGGUGAGGGCNNNNNNNNNNNNNNNNNNNNNNNNNNNNNNNNNNNNNNNNNNNNNNNNNNNNNNNNNNNNNNNNNNNNNNNNNNNNNNNNNNNNNNNNNNNNNNNNNNNNNNNNNNNNNNNNNNNNNNNNNNNNNNNNNNNNNNNNNNNNNNNNNNNNNNNNNNNNNNNNNNNNNNNNNNNNNNNNNNNNNNNNNNNNNNNNNNNNNNNNNNNNNNNNNNNNNNNNNNNNNNNNNNNNNNNNNNNNNNNNNNNNNNNNNNNNNNNNNNNNNNNNNNNNNNNNNNNNNNNNNNNNNNNNNNNNNNNNNNNNNNNNNNNNNNNNNNNNNNNNNNNNNNNNNNNNNNNNNNNNNNNNNNNNNNNNNNNAUUAGUUGAUUGAUUAUAAACACUUAUAUUUCUUUUGAUUUAUUAAGAUUGAACCUUAUAAUUAUAUUAAAAAAAAAUCAUAUGUGCCUGGCCAAGUCAGGUAAGAUGGUAUUCAUAGAGCUCAUAUUAUCCAUCAAACUACAGUCUAAUAAAUUAUAUUUGGAAUUUGAAGUAACAUAUAACGACGAUUGGUGGAUUCAUAACGGUUCAAAUUUACAUAAUUUCUGAGAUAAUUAAGCGUAUUUAAGAAGAAAAAAAGUAUAAAAAGCAUGAAAUAUAUAAGGAUUUCAUAUAAUCCCUUACAAGGAAUUUAUAUAAAAAAAUUUCCCUUAAAACUCGGGGAAUGGUUGGGACAUAGUUCGAGCAAGUUUUGGUCUAUCUUUUCCAUUGAUUUUUCAUACUCAACUAUUUAUUCAAUACAUCAACUAAACCAUAGAUUAAAUACGAACGAUGUCCAUGAUAUAAAAGAGAUACCAAACAAAAAUUAGAUGAAAACACGCGAAAUACUCACAUUGGUGUGGUGGAAAAGGGCUGGAUCCUGUUGGAGCCAUAGCCAUUUUCUUCAUCGACAUCAUGAAUGUCAACUCCCCCUCCCCCUCCAGCAGCCAUGGUGAGCUUCUUGAUUUAUCGUUGCCUUCCAAUUUGGUUGCCUUUCUAUUUAUAGAACAAAGUCAAUGAAAACAUCCAUCCUUUGCACACACACAAAAAUAGUUGAUGGUGAUGUAUCUUGGGAAAGGAUUAUCUUGCAUUUAUGAUUUUUACAAGAGAUAUUUCUUAUAUUUUUCUUUAUUUAUUUUAAUCACAUGGGAUUCAUUAUAGUCGCACCUUAUAAUUAGAUUUUUAGUGGGGAUUUAUUUAUAUACCUAUUUUAUUUAUUGUCUAUAUAUGGCCAUCAUUUUUUGACUUGGAAUUACGAUACACCUCUCAUCAUUUCCCCAACUCCCAUUAAUAAAUUACAUGUAUGGAAAUUGGGCUUCUUUUUUUUAUAUAGUUAUGCAUUUAUGGCCAAUAUGAAUAUAAUGCACCAAUACAAAAAUACAGAAAAUAGAAAUUUAAAGUCAACUUUGCGUGUUCAUUGAUUUUGGAUAUGAUCCAUUUCUCAUAAAUGCUACUGCAAUAUGAGACAAGGCUCAAAUUCAUGUGAUCCGAUUUGAGUCGGUAAAAGCAAUUGGUUGAAAGUAAGAGUUUAGAUAUUCUAAUUUUGAGUUCGACUUUCGAUAUCAAAACGGCUCAUUGUCGAGGAGAGGGGUAUAGCUAAGUGAUUCGUGCCGUGGUCCUCGGCCUGAGGCAACCAUCUUUGCUCAAAUGUGGAAAUUGGUAUAAAUGUAUAUAGCUGACCGCAUAAAUAUAGCGCAAGGUCACUGCAUCUUUGGCUGGACAACUAACCCCCCACCGCACUACUGUGAAGUUAACCAGUAAUCGCAUCACGGCUAUGUGGCGUGGUUAGUGAUUAAUCGCAUAACCAAACUACUAAGAUAAACUCGUCAAUAUGUCGACUUUGAAAUUCUAUUGAUCAAGAUUUCACUUGUUGUAGGAUGAAUGAGUUCGACUGUACAAAAGUUAGUCCGUCAGAACUCAGAUUACUGUUUAACGAAUUUUCCAACGAAGGACGUAGGGAUUUGAGUCCACUUUGGUUGUGCAUUAAUAUCGGAUAUACACAAACACCUCCCCAUCAUUUUGCAUGCAGCCGUGGACCACGAAAUCAACGUCCUCCCCUGUUUUAGAAGCUGACUUUUUAGGGUUACGACAGACUAAUAAUGAGUGUAUAUUCAAGCAAAGUAGACAAAUUUUUCUUGUAGUUGCAGCUCCCAACCAUAUUCGUUAAAGCUUUGGCGGCUAUCGUGGACCUUUCUACUCCCUGCUUAUCCGUCUUGAUCCAAUCAACGCCGUUAAUACUCGCAUUAACUGGGCUACGAGACUGGAAUGAGGAAUACCGGUCAGGCUACGAGACUGGAAUGAGGAAUACCGGCCGGGCUACGAGACUGGAAUGCAGAAUACCGGCCGGGCUACGAGACUGGAAUGCAGAAUACCAGCAAAGUAACUUACGAGUGUCUUUCCGAACUUCAAAAUCUGAUGUCACAUAAUUGGGAUAUUCCAAGGAUUCUGUCAUCAAACGUUAAGAGAACGAAAAGGAAACACGGUAGAUUCAUAGCCGACUCGAAGCAUUCAACCAAUCGACAGAACAUCAUGGAGCUUUUCCGAUGCAUUGAACUUAGAACACAGAAUGUAUGGAGCUUUUCAAGGAGGUUGCAUUGCUACCAGAAUAAGUUAAUUCUCCCAACAUGACGAUUAUGUUCAGUAAAGUUCAUAGUCAAAAGUACUUAGCAAUGUUAAUUUACAAAAAAACAAAGCAUCCCACUUUUUACUUCUAAGUUUGAGGCAUACAGAACCGCAGCAGCUAGAAUCCGCGCAGCAUCAGGAUUUGGCGGCAGUUGCACAUAAGUUAAGUGCGAAGGACCAAGGCCAGCAUCGACACCAACCACCGUUACGCAAAAUCAUCUCCUUAUACAACUCCGGAAGGAAGGCGUAGAACGAGCUGCCCGCCGAACACACUGCAAAAUUGGGAGCACAGAAUCAGACCGAAUCGAGUAGAACUCGGUAGUGUUGGGAUGUGGGUAUCCACCGCACCAUGAGUUCGAACUAUGUACUCAAGGAGAACAUUUCAGAUGUAACGAACCUUUUCACGUAGUAGUAACAGAAAUCUGCAAGGAUGAAAGUCUGCACGAUUUCCGAGAUGAGAACCAUAGACGGCCACAAUCCGUAUCCCAAGGCGACUAGCAAGUGGCCGCGACUAUCUAGAACCUGUUGGAGAAAAGGAAGUGACAAUGCGUUAAACUCGAAUGUGAAAUUACUAGUCGGCCUUCUGAGCUAGGAGCCUGAUAAAAUAUAUUCAGAUCAAUCAACUGAAAAGGAAGAUAGCAGAGUAAAUACCAUUUGGAGAAAAACAUCGGCUAGAAACGCAUGAAUUCUUGACAAGCAAAUACAAAUGAGGUUAAUGAAUUAAGUCUUUUGAGAGAAAGGACAGAUCUUGAAGAAUUUUCAAGUUCAUGCCGAUGAAACGGGGAAAAAUAAGCAUGACUCAAUUAUACAUCAUGACCCGGGUCUGCUAUCAGUUCAUGCUGUUACUAGUCAAGAACAGCAAAAAUACGACAUUCGGAUAAAGUAGCAUGAAACAACCUGGGAAUUCACUUACAUAACUGACAUGAUGACACAAUUAGAGGUAAAAAACCGAAAAAUAACUGUGUUGAGGUAAAAAAGGUGGAUUUGGAUCAAAGUAGUACCUGGAGAACCCAGUGAGCACAGCUCAGAAACCUUGCUAUUCCCAGUGCAAAGACAUAAUGAGCGGUGAAUGGUUCAACAAUCUGAAGAUAAAAACAAAAAGAGUAAGAUUUUAACACUAGCAACACUUUAAAAAGAUCAGUAACAACCAAUCAAAGAUAAACCUUGGUGUUCUGCAUCACUCGCAACUGAGGAAGCACAGAAACAGACUCCAGGUAUACACAGAAACCCCAGAAGAUCCUAUUCACCAGAUUAUGGGAUGUUGAUGGAUGGAUGAGCACGGCUAAAACAGCACAAGGUACCAACUGAUGGAACCCAAAAAAAAAAGAAGACAAAACAAUAUAGAAAAUUAGAUACAAGAUCGACCUAACAGCAGUGUGACUGUAAAGGGAAAAGGAUAAUUUUCUACAAAGCGUGUACUGACCACAUAAUAAAGUGCAAAGUUGUCCUUGUCCUCCAUAUAGCUAGAUUUCAGCUUGAAGCGAAUCAUAUAAAUAACCCACAGUGUAGUUCCUAGCGUAGCUAAAUCAAGUAGAGUAUGUAUAUCAUACUCCAUCACAAAGCUACAGUAAAGUCUAACUGCUAGAAAUAUAGCAGUCAAUUCUUGUGAUUUUAGUGAUAUGCCUGCAAAACACAUGAAUCAUAGUAAAAAGGACAGUGUAAGUUAAGGCUGGCACGAAUAAUUGGCAGUGAAAGGUGGAAAUCUUCAAGAUUUAGACUACCGACAACCCCCCCCCCCGCGCCACCCCCCACCCCCAAAAAACUCAUUUCUUUAUACCGUUACUUGCUUACAUAUAAGAAACGAUAGAAAACCCUUCAAUGAACAGUCAUAGAACUUGGAACCUCAGAACAUGACAUCAGAAGGCAGAUAAAACCUCAUUAAACUAGAAAGAUGUCACAACCAAGAGUAGACGAGAACCAAUGCCCACCAAUGAGAGUAGUCUCCCCAUUGCCCAGACACCUUUCCAUCAGAUAUAGUUUGUGAACAAGGCUAAUUCAUUGUUCAUGCUAGUCAGACUAGAAAUCUAAAAACUUUUAAACUCAGACUUGCCACACAACACAAAGCUCUCACCAAAUCCAUAGACUAAAAUUUCUAAUCAAUGAGCCAAGAUAAAUACUUUUUACCAAAUUGGUUUCUACCCUAAUCCAAAUACGCAAUGUACCUUUCACAACUUUCCACAGAUAUCAUCAACAGACCAAACAUUCAACAGAGAGACCUAGGAUCCUACUAGCUUCGAUCCUUAGAUAACUAAAUCUCAACCCUUCUCCUCAAAUCAAUAUGAAAAAACAAUGAAACCAAUCUCCCUACAACAGCAUCUCAAAAUGCAAAAAAAAAUCACCUUUAUCCAGAAAAAAAACCCUAGAAACCAAAAAUAGAGGGGAAACAAAAGUGAUACCGGCACAAGUCUUCUCCUUCAUGAGCUUGUAUAUGAGAACCAUGAUUCCAAUCGAGUGUACGGCCUCCGCGGCGACGAAGAGGUUGUCGUGGUCGUUGACGAUGAAGCGGAGGAGGACCAGAGCCGCCAUCCCGGCUACGACAGCGAGAAACCCCUUGACCUUGGGCGGCUGCCGCCGCACCCACGUCGUCACCAUGUGGAUCGGUCUCUUCGGCGGCCUCAUGGAAAUUUUUCUUCCGGAUCGAAUUUGAAAGCUUGAGCUCGUUGGAAGGGGCGGAAUUAGGGAUUUUGGUUUUGCUCUGGAAAUUUAGGAUUCGUCCUUGAAGAAUUUUGGAGGGUUUCGUUUCUUAUUUAUUUUUUUCGUUGUUUGCCCUUUUGGAGUUUGAAUAGGAUAUGUAUACCUAUUAAACCCAAUGUAAUCGAAACCGAACUGGAUUGAUCGCAAACCGGCUAUCAUGCUGGUUCGAUUAAAUUAUGAUAUAGUAAUAAUUUAAAGUUUAAACAUCAUUUAACUUUGAUUUAAAUAAUUAAGUCGUAAUUCUCGACUCUCUUGGUUUCGAAUUUUGGUAUUGAUAUGGAAGAAGUUUAUGGAUUUAUCGACAUUUAUUUUGUGGAAUUUUGGUAAUUUGAUAGGAUAGUGUUAGCUUGUUAGGUAAAGGUAGGAAUGAUUGGUGGGUUGAUGGAAAACAAGUGACCAAAUAAUACACAAAUCACAAUGUUAACAACUUCAAUAGAACAUAAGUACAAGAAUAUUAUGACAAUUUUAUUGAUAACUUUUGACGGGAUUUGAUAUCUAUAUCGAGUUUGAAACGACAUCUUAGAUUGCAAAUUGAUUUUGGAUUAGUUUAUUUUUUAAUUAUUGUGUCCGAGAGUUCAAAUUUAUUUAUAUAAGAAUGGAUAGAGAAACAUUUUGUCAUAAUUAAAAGACAAAGUAAAUUCUCCAACNNNNNNNNNNNNNNNNNNNNNNNNNNNNNNNNNNNNNNNNNNNNNNNCCACAAUUUCUAACCUCCUCCAUCCCAUCAAUUGAUUAGCAAUUUGUAGUAAUCAUUUCUACAAACAAACACAAUAAAAAUGAACUAAUCAAAAUCAUUAAAUAUUAUUUAUCUUCAAUUUAUUUUCUAUUCAUAAAUGUAUUUCUUAAAAAUUGUAGCAACUUGUUUAUGUAGCAUUGCUAAUUGACUUGUUAAAUUAGCAAGCUUACUAAUUUAAAAAACACAUCUACAUCCUUAACAAUUACUAAAAAAAGGUCACAUCACAUCCACAUUACUUAACAAUCGUUAAAAUAAUAGGGAUGAAAACCUAUUAUUUUCAUAGGAUGAAGCCACUUGUAAAAUCAGAGGCAUAGGUGUAAUGUAAUCACAACCAUCAUAAACAGAGGUCCACCAACUACUCAAAGCUUUUCAACAACAAACUUCAUCCACAAAAGUCAAAGAUACACACCUUCAUAAGAGAAGUACAAGUACACCUAACCCAAAUAAAGAGCUUUGUCGAAUCGGUUAGUUGGGCGUAGAGAUAUCACUAAUAUGUACAAUCUUUAGGGUUACGGUUUGUCAAUAUGCAAAACCCAUGUUGGAAGGUGAAUUAACUAAAAAGAACAUCUUGUUUAAAGCGGAUGCGCAAGUGGUCGUCAACAUAAUUAGGAGAAAUGAGGAGGUCGUUUGAUUUUUGUAUUUGGAGAGGAAUUUGGAAAGAAAGUAAUAGGGCCAAAUGAUUUGAACAAAAUCUUUUAUUUGAUUUUUAAAAAUGAUGGAGAUUUAAGAUCACCAUAUGUAGUCCCAUGGUGAUUUAGAGAGUAAUUUAAAAUUACCAUGAACUUGGUGUGAUUUGAAGAUUUCAAGUGUGAUUUGUACACAAAAUAACAUAUUAACCAAAUUAAAACACACUAAUUACAGCAAUACCACUAAAAGUAUGAAGAAUUGAGAAGACUAAUUUUAGAACUAGAGGGCAAUCUAGUUUUUUUAAAAUAAGUUAAUUUAACUAUUGGUGUUUAAAAUGUUAGAAUCACUCUCAAUUUUAGAAAACAAACAAGAUAUUUAUGAAAUCACUAGCUGUUUGAAAUCACUAGUGAUUUCAAAUCACCUUCCAAAUCUCAAAUUCAAACGACCUCGAGGUGAUGGAUCGAAUGGAUUUUGGCGAUAUUGUACGAGAAUGUAAGACCCUUUGUUUAUCUGAACCGAUUUUAUGAUUAACUUUGUGAGGAAGGAUAGUAACAAGGUUGCGGACGUGCUUGUACAACAAUCUUAGUUAGCAGGGUCACCCACUGUUGGGGAGAUUCCUCCACACUUUCUACUUAAUUUCUUGAACGAUGUUUUGAAUGAGCUAUACGAUUAAUAUAUGAGAUCACCUUUUGUUUAAGAAAAAAACUAAAAAAAACAUAUUCAACUACAUAAUAAGAUGAAUCAGACGACCGGAGUUACAAAACCUAGGAGUCGGGCUAAUCAGAUGUUCAUAACUCAUAAGCUUCAAAUAUGCCAUAAGAUCCGAUCUCCUCAAAUUACAAGGUAAAUAUAUUUCACCUUUAAAGUUUCCAAAAUCCAUGAAAUCUCCUCCUCAUGCGUUCUUAGGGUUAGAGUUCAACGAUCCAAGAAAUGAGAUCUAUGCAACUAGAAGGUGAGUUGAUGUGUUGGCAGGAGGUUCCAAAAUCCACAGAAGCCUUCUCGAUUGGUCAUGACUCAACCUGAAAACCAACCGAACUACUCUGAACAAACAUGAUAAGAAACCAAUCCAAAGCAUAACUUAUUGUGUCCAUUUCACACACACAAGAAUUCCUUAGUGACGAUAAAGAGGAGGCAAAGUCUAGAUAGCCAACAGAUGACUCCCUCUGGAAAACCUUGUAGAUUUAUUCAAACAUCAACAAAAUAGAUAUAAGGCUUUGGUUGAUGGGUGCAAAACUACAGAUACAAAAAGAAAUGGUGUUCUCCAAAUGUGUCAUCAAAGAUGAGGUUUAAUGGAGGCUGACAGAUCUUCUCAU
Molecule: long non-coding RNA, 8095 nt
Filed under: Linum usitatissimum (flax)
Lineage: Eukaryota; Viridiplantae; Streptophyta; Magnoliopsida; Malpighiales; Linaceae
Description: long non-coding RNA (LUSI_LNC004393)
Source: RNAcentral